UUUCCGUAGGUGAACCUGCGGAAGGAUCGUUUUGCACACUUCAUCCGAGGCGCCGCGUCCCUCAGCACCGGUAGCAACGCCUUCCUCCGGGGGCCGCGCGUGCACUCGUCCAAACCAAACCCCUGGGAACCUUACGGGAUGGCCCGGGUUAGCGCCCGGUGCCGUUCCGCCUUAUACAAUCACUUAGCAAAGACCGAACUGAAGGCGGUCUGACCGCGGGAUAACAAACUGAAACAACUUUCAACAACGGAUAUCUUGGCUCUC
This 264-nucleotide unclassified non-coding RNA is filed under the name plant metagenome. RNAcentral describes it as "partial contains small subunit ribosomal RNA, internal transcribed spacer 1, and 5.8S ribosomal RNA". The record is from RNAcentral.